UUGGGGACAACCAGCUCUAUCUCCUCCCUCCCUCGAUCCGCGCCAUGGCAGGCACCGAAACAAGCACCGGCGGGAGCGCACACUGGCCUGGCGCGCGGUGCUGCAGCGACCAGAGCGCGCCCAUCAACCGCGCCGGUGCGUGCGGAGUCGAUCCCGCGGCCGUCGUCACGUGAACCACCACCGCCUCGUCGCUGAUAAGGCCACGAUGGAAAGAGACGUUGCUGCCGCCGCGGGAAGCCGCCCUCGUCGCCGUUCCUCUUCUUCUUCUCCGUGGCCCCGCUCCCUUUCCACUCCUUCGAGCACAAGCAGUAGCAGCACGCAUCGAGCACAAGCAGCACUAACACUUGGUGGCGAGCAUGUACACGCUGCACACACACACACACAAGCUAUCUAAGGUAAGCUAACAGGCUGGUUGAUCAACUCUUUGCAAGAAAAUCACGUACACAGAUGCCUAAGCAGCUUAAUUGAUUCCGGCUAUCUGAACAAGUUAUUGUUAUCCAAAUGAUUUGCCUACAAUAAGCUAUUAUUCACAUUGGUUCAAUAGAUGUCUAUGUAGUAGAAAAUUACACUACCAGUGAUAGUCUGAAUCUAAGAACUCACCCUGAAAUAUAUUAAUCAUGCUUUCAUUCUGAUUUGUACAUCGUCCUGGAUGGUCUGCCCAAAAGAUGCUCAUAGCUUUUCUUAGCCUAUGUUGCAGCUCAUUUUUUAUAUUUAAAGAACAACCAUGUGGCAGAGUGGUUCUACUUCUCAUAAAUUGACAGAAAGGUUCUAGCAUGUUUUCAUUUGCAAGUAAAACUCGACCUUCUUUUAGUUGAGUGAAUAUCUUUCAGAUAUGGAACCUUUUACAGUACAUGUCUUUCCUUCUAAAUGUGAAUUCAUGUACAUCUUCAAGCACUUCACAUUUGUUGUAGCACUACGUAAUGGUGUACUUCUUUUAGAAAUUCUGCUCCUUACUUUUAUAAAUUCUACAUAUGGUUUCUCAUCACUUGGUCUAUAUAUAUCACCUUUUGGGCAACGAAUUAUUCAGUGUUCUGUGUUAAAGCUUUCAACCUUGAAAGCACAUAUUUGUUUGGGCAUGUGCUAUAUGUACCAUUUUAGAAGUAGUCAUUUGCUUAAACAUAGUGAAACUAGUCUGAGUACUGGCCCAAUCGUACCUCCACCCCUAAUAGCAAGGGCCACAUGUCAUGCCAACUAUUAGCAAGGGCCACCCCUAAUAGUUUGAUAGUUGGCGAACCGGGGCACGGCGACCUCAUAGGCUUUCUAACAAAGAGGUGUUGUGUAAAUUGGUGUUUGUUUUGAGUUUUAGUCUAUUAAAGGUUCUUUCCUAUGCAAAGAGGUGUUGUGCAUGGUGAUCGCCUUCAAUUUACUUUCUGCAGGUAGAGUUACUGUGUUAAAUCUUGAAUGAAGCAUCCGGGUAGUUGCAUUGGGUCAAGUGUUUCUCAGAUGCUUGUACAUAUCUUGGCUCAGUAAAUCGAUAUAAUCCAUACUUAGCUAUGAAGGGACUUUCAUGAAUCAUAGCACUGGUGUGUGGAUGCCAUGCAUCUAUGGAUUAUUGGUUUAGUGUAUUGUAGAUAUGUGAUCCUUUUAUCUAACUAGCUUGUAUGUGCUUGUUAUUGAACUGCAUGUCGGGGAGGUUCUGAUGGAAACAAGUUCAGGAUGUCUCUGGGUCUGCCUGUGGCAGCCACUGUGAACCGCGCUGAUAACACUGUUGCUGCAUCUGGCGGAGCUGUUGCUGCCGCCCCAAAGGGCAACCUUCAUCACACACAACCCCAUAACAGGGCCUCAAGGCCGACGCCAAAAGUGGUGCUUGUGGUGCCAAGCAAGACUAACUGUAUGUGAGAUUUUGGUCCAUCUGUACACCAUCUUUGGGGUCCAGGCGUACGCCUCCAUGCUUGUCGGCGGUGCCCUUUCCUUCAACCUCGUCUUCCCCUCCAGCGAGCCAGACAUGUGGAGGCUCAUGGGGAUGUGGUGCAUCUGGAUG
Molecule: long non-coding RNA, 1981 nt
Organism: Triticum aestivum (bread wheat)
Lineage: Eukaryota; Viridiplantae; Streptophyta; Magnoliopsida; Poales; Poaceae
Exons: 3
Source: RefSeq, a predicted model, not a curated record